This 492-nucleotide ribosomal RNA is filed under the name uncultured bacterium. RNAcentral describes it as "partial 16S ribosomal RNA". It matches the Rfam family "Bacterial small subunit ribosomal RNA", at positions 29 to 507 of the family's 1533-position model. The record is from RNAcentral.
AGUGAACGCUGGCGGUAGGCCUAACACAUGCAAGUCGAACGGCAGCACAGUAAGAGCUUGCUCUUACGGGUGGCGAGUGGCGGACGGGUGAGGAAUACAUCGGAAUCUACUUUUUCGUGGGGGAUAACGUAGGGAAACUUACGCUAAUACCGCAUACGACCUACGGGUGAAAGCAGGGGAUCUUCGGACCUUGCGCGAUUGAAUGAGCCGAUGUCGGAUUAGCUAGUUGGCGGGGUAAAGGCCCACCAAGGCGACGAUCCGUAGCUGGUCUGAGAGGAUGAUCAGCCACACUGGAACUGAGACACGGUCCAGACUCCUACGGGAGGCAGCAGUGGGGAAUAUUGGACAAUGGGCGCAAGCCUGAUCCAGCCAUACCGCGUGGGUGAAGAAGGCCUUCGGGUUGUAAAGCCCUUUUGUUGGGAAAGAAAAGCAGCAGAUUAAUACCCCGCUGUUCUGACGGUACCCAAAGAAUAAGCACCGGCUAACUUCGCG